CGCGACCCCAGGUCAGGCGGGACUACCCGCUGAGUUU
Molecule: ribosomal RNA, 37 nt
Filed under: Quercus fusiformis
Lineage: Eukaryota; Viridiplantae; Streptophyta; Magnoliopsida; Fagales; Fagaceae
Also listed under: 1 other name
Description: partial 26S ribosomal RNA
Source: RNAcentral